Non-coding RNA from Ictidomys tridecemlineatus (thirteen-lined ground squirrel), 1682 nucleotides. Lineage: Eukaryota; Metazoa; Chordata; Mammalia; Rodentia; Sciuridae. The record is from RefSeq and is a predicted model, not a curated record.
GAGUCCAUGGGGACAGGGAGGGGGAGCUGCCACUGGGCGAGAUGAUGCCCAGGGGGAGAUCCCGGGCCAGAGCCAGGGCCGGGCGUGUCCUUCAUGGUGACCCCCCUAGAACUCCAGGGAACUGGCAUCACACACUCCCUGCCUGUUGUGAUUUGAUAUGAGGGGUCCCUGAGGCUCCUGACAGCUCAGAGGUGAAAUGGCUCCAUUAUUACAGCCGCCAGCUCACCAGGGGCUUAAUGCACUCGGUGGUCAGUAGCUGGACGCCAACCUGGGUGGGACUGCAGGCAGACGGGGCGUGGCUAGAGAAGGUGGGUCCGCCGGGGACGUGUCUGGAAGGGUUCGACUUCCCUGCAGCCCCCCUGCUUGUUUCCCUGCUGCAGGAGCUGAGCAUGCCCCUCCUGCACGCCCUUCCACCUCGAGGCUCUGCCUGGCCCAGGUGACGACCUACUGCCCGGAGCAAUGGACCGAACCACGGCCGACCAUGAACCGAACUUCUGAAGCCGUGAGCAUAAAAUCGAGUUUUCCUCCUCCAGAUUGUUCUUGUGGGGAUCUUCUCAGGAGAGGGGCAGUAAUCCCACCGCUCAGGUCCAGCUCCGCAGAGCCUCGGCCAGGAGAUGCAGGGACAGCGGUGGGUCAGGGCAAGCGUUCAGCAGCGGCGAGAUCUGGAGGCGCCCAGGAUGGUGAACCGCUCCGGGGUGCGCGUGUAUGCAGGGCGGUCUCUACAGCGACAUCUGUAAGAGCGACAAAGGAAACAGAAGACGCUUCUGAGGCUCCCCGAGGGUCCAGCGAGAGGAAAUGAGCUAAAUAAAUAACGGUGCAGCCCACGACCGAAUACCAAGCAGAACCACAGAGAACAAAGCGCCAUGCAGCAAAGGAAAGCGCCCUCCUGCACUGACCCGCUGCUGGCCCCACCUGGACAGUCCAGAUCCGGUCUCCCCCGCCCACGCUGCUUUGUGAAAAUAACCUGUGACCUCAUCUGGGUCACCUGCAGGUGUCUAUUGUGACCCAUCGCUCCCCUCUGCUCCCGGGGACCUCCUGAUUCUCUUCCUGCCUCCCCAGGGCUCCUUGCUGUCCCCUUGUACCUUGUGCUGUCCCUGGACUCCGUUCUGGGUCUUCUUUUCAUCCUCUCCCGCUCCCUUGGGGCUCCCCAAGACCCGGGGGGGGGGGCGCGCUGCAAGCUGCUCAUAAGCUGAUGGCUCCUGAGUUUCCAUCUCUGCUAACACCGGUCACGUAGCACACGGAACACUGGCCCUCAGCCUGCAGCUGACUUCCCAAGAAUCCUGCAUAAGGCAACCCAGGAUGACCACCUGCCAGAGGUCAGACUCUAGAAAACCAGGUGACCUCUUGUGACAAUCCAGGAAGUCACAAGAGGAAGCAUUCCAUGCCCUAGGGCCAGGACUUGGUUAGGUACAGACAGCCGUUCUCAUUUUUUUUGUCCUCUCCUCUUGGGGAAGACCAAGCAGAGAAAUGCAAAUAGCAUGUGCAAAGACCCUGAGGUGGGUGCUUCUAGUUCCCUGCCUGGGGCCCCACAGCCCUGCGGCCUCCAUCAGGACUCACCUGAAGCUCUUCCUCUCCCUACUGUAAGGUCUCCCUACCCCUCUGCCUCCCCCGAGGCUCUGCCAAAUGCAAGUGUCCACCGCCGAUGGCCUGACUCUAGCAAGCUCCGGAGGGGGCGGAGGAUA